Molecule: ribosomal RNA, 403 nt
Filed under: Neoporia koreana
Lineage: Eukaryota; Fungi; Basidiomycota; Agaricomycetes; Polyporales; Polyporaceae
Description: eukaryotic LSU rRNA
Rfam family: Eukaryotic large subunit ribosomal RNA
Source: RNAcentral
UAACAAGGAUUCCCCUAGUAACUGCGAGUGAAGCGGGAAAAGCUCAAAUUUAAAAUCUGGCGGUCUUUGGCCGUCCGAGUUGUAGUCUGGAGAAGUGCUUUCCGCGCUGGACCGUGUACAAGUCUCUUGGAACAGAGCGUCAUAGAGGGUGAGAAUCCCGUCUUUGACACGGACUACCAGUGCUUUGUGAUGCGCUCUCAAAGAGUCGAGUUGUUUGGGAAUGCAGCUCAAAAUGGGUGGUGAAUUCCAUCUAAAGCUAAAUAUUGGCGAGAGACCGAUAGCGAACAAGUACCGUGAGGGAAAGAUGAAAAGCACUUUGGAAAGAGAGUUAAACAGUACGUGAAAUUGCUGAAAGGGAAACGCUUGAAGUCAGUCGCGUUGUUCGGAACUCAGCCUUGCUUUU